Molecule: long non-coding RNA, 238 nt
Filed under: Amborella trichopoda
Lineage: Eukaryota; Viridiplantae; Streptophyta; Magnoliopsida; Amborellales; Amborellaceae
Description: long non-coding RNA (ATRI_LNC001803)
Source: RNAcentral
CAUGGUCACUUUGAGGAAAACAAAAGCUCAUUGAAGGUUUCAAUUUUCAUAUCAAUUCCCCUCUCAUGAUCAUGAUCAGAAAGUUCCAAAUCACUUCCCCCUUCAAGUUGUCUCGUGAGCCUGAUUGCUAAUUACAUCUAGUGCUUUGCAUCCGCGAUGACUUGCUCUCUAGCGCCGGGUGGUUAGUGUAGUGGGAUGAUGACUUGCUCUCUAGUGCCGAGUGAUCAAGGUAGUGGGU